AAAUAGACAACGUCCGAAUGAUGAGUGUUAAAUGACGUUGUAAAACUAAACUAUCUCAUACCACCUUUGUGAACUGUAUUUGUCUCUGGCGGGAUGGGUGAAAUUUCGGUUUCAUCUGUCAGCUUGGUCUUUGAUCAAGCCGUGGACAACCCGCCAAAAACUUGCAUCAACCUUGAUUUUUGUCUUUGUCUAACAUUUUUUGUAUAAAUAUACAAA
Molecule: unclassified non-coding RNA, 216 nt
Filed under: uncultured fungus
Lineage: Eukaryota; Fungi
Description: sequence contains ITS1, 5.8S rRNA gene
Source: RNAcentral